UGAAUUUUCAUUGACCCUUCUGCCU
This 25-nucleotide non-coding RNA is filed under the name Rattus norvegicus (Norway rat). Lineage: Eukaryota; Metazoa; Chordata; Mammalia; Rodentia; Muridae. The record is from RNAcentral.